Molecule: ribosomal RNA, 228 nt
Filed under: uncultured bacterium
Lineage: Bacteria
Description: partial 16S ribosomal RNA
Rfam family: Bacterial small subunit ribosomal RNA
Source: RNAcentral
UGAGUAAUCUGCCCUCCACUUUGGGAUAGCCACCGGAAACGGUGAUUAAUACCGGAUAUGACCUGAUGCCGCAUGGUGUUGGGUGGAAAGUUUUUCGGUGGGGGAUGUGCUCGCGGCCUAUCAGCUUGAUGGUGGGGUAAUGGCUCACCAAGGCGACGACGGGUAGCCGGCUGAGAGGGUGACCGGCCACACUGGGACUGAGGCACGGCCCAGACCUCCGUACGGGAG